Molecule: transfer RNA, 71 nt
Filed under: bacterium
Lineage: Bacteria
Description: tRNA-Gln
Rfam family: tRNA
About the family: Transfer RNA (tRNA) molecules are approximately 80 nucleotides in length.
Source: RNAcentral
UGCCCGGUCGUCUAAUGGUAGGACAACGGUUUUUGGUGCCGUUUAUUUUGGUUCGAGUCCAAGCCGGGCAG